UAGCGGCAGAUGGAUUCUUCCCCAAUAUUACCACUGGCUUGACAUCUUCCUCCUUCAACUGUACCCCUGCUUCCUCAUCGAUCGAUUUUUCUUUCGGAGUGGCACGGAUCAUCAUCACUGUCUGUGAGGGUUUUUUCAGCUCCCCUCCUUCGUGCAAAAGCUCGAUCAUGUGGGCUUCGGGGUGCUUUGGCAAUGGGUUCUGGUUAAUGUUGGGUGCCUCCGGGGCCUGUACCUCGAUCUUGUUGGUAUCAAUAAGAUCUUGUAUCGCAUGUUUCAGCCUCCAACAUUUCUCGGUAUCAUGUCCGGGAGCUCCCGAACAAUAUUCAUUUCUUACCGAGUGAUCCAUAUUUUGGGGUAAGGGAUUUGGCAAUCUAGGCUCCACAGGAUUUAAUAAACCCAACUGCCUCAAUUUGUGGAACAAGGCAAUAUAAGUUUCCCCCAACUCAGUAAAAGUUCUUUGCCUCUGCAAUCUUUCAUUUCUGGAGGCCGGAUUUCCCCUGAAACCCAUCCCUGGAGGGUUCCUGUAGGCUCUUGGCGGUGGAUAGGGGUUUUGUGGUGGGGGUAGGUGUUAUGUGGAGGUGGGUAUGUAUUGUGGGGAGCCGGCGCGCGCCAUUGUGGGCGAACCGGAAGUUGGGUGUAUGUCUGGGCUUGAUGGACGGAGAAGUGUUGUUCUUGUGGUGGGUAGUAGGGUUGUGGUGGGUAAUUUGGAAUGUGUGGGUAGUUUACAUGAUGGGGUAUGGGUUGGUAAUGAGGGGAAGGACCUCUAGAUCUGGACCAAUUGCCGACUUCUGUUGUCGUUACCUCUUCUCUCCUUUUCUUUCCGAGCGCACCUCCCGUGCAGCUCUGAAUGGCCUGAGUCGUUGCCUUAAUUGCCGAGUAACUUAGGAUCUUAUUGGACUUAAGUCCCCCUUCUAUCAUGCUUCCCAUUUUCACCACUUCGUUGAAGGAUUUGCCAACUGACGUCACCAAGUGACCGAAGUAAGUUGGCUCUAGAGUUUGUAGAAAGUAAUCUACCAUUUCCCCCUCUCUCAUCGGAGGAUCAACUCUGGCUACCUGUUCCCUCCAUCGGAAACCAAAUUCCCGGAUGCUCUCCCCAGAUUUCUUUUCGAGCUUUAGCAAUGUGAGACGGUCUGGGACUAUCUCAAGGUUGUACUGGAAAUGUCCUGCGAAAGCCUGUGCCAAGUCAUCCCAGGUGUACCACCUGCUCGGAUCUUGUCUCGUGUACCACUCCAGUGCCGACCCACUCAAACUCUGGCCAAAGUAAGCUAUCAGUAACUCAUCUUUUCCCCCUGCUCCCCUCAUUUUGCUGCAAAAACCCCGCAGAUGUGCCAUAGGAUCACCAUGCCCUUCGUACAAAUCGAACUUGGGCAUCUUGAACCCUGCUGGUAAUUGGACGUUAGGGAAAGGGCAUAGAUCCUUGUAGGCCACGCUGACCUGGUUGCCUAACCCGUGUAUGUUUCUGAAGGACUGCUCCAAGCUUUUAAAUUUCCGCAUCACCUCAUCCUGCUCUGGGCUCUUUGUCGGCUUUUCAAUCUCCGCCGGGACCUCAAAGUGGGGAUUAUAGGUAUGUGGCUCGGGUGCUUUGAAUGUGAGUUCAUGAGGGUAAUAUUGUUUGUCGUGAGCCUGAAAUAUCGACUCGCUUGAUGAUCUGUGCAAUGGGGCUGGGGGAGGUGCUACAAAGACGGGAACAUUUGGUGGAGGAGGGUUUUGACUGGGUGGUGGGGCUUGGUGAUCAUAGGCCUCUCUUCCCUGAUAGUAGUGAUGGCUUGGGAAACUCGUUGAAGGGUCGGUGGAAAGGUAUUCCGGCGAGUUUAUUGGUUGGAG
Molecule: long non-coding RNA, 1824 nt
Filed under: Nicotiana tabacum (common tobacco)
Lineage: Eukaryota; Viridiplantae; Streptophyta; Magnoliopsida; Solanales; Solanaceae
Description: long non-coding RNA (NTAB_LNC012000)
Source: RNAcentral